This 132-nucleotide ribosomal RNA is filed under the name uncultured bacterium. RNAcentral's name for it is "partial 16S ribosomal RNA". It matches the Rfam family "Bacterial small subunit ribosomal RNA", at positions 384 to 526 of the family's 1533-position model. The record is from RNAcentral.
UGAUGCAGCGACGCAGCGUGCGGGAUGACGGCCUUCGGGUUGUAAACCGCUUUCAGCAGGGAAAAAGCCGUAAGGUGACGGUACCUGCAAAAGAAGUACCGGCUAACUACGUGCCAGCAGCCGCGGUAAUAC